Molecule: ribosomal RNA, 449 nt
Filed under: uncultured bacterium
Lineage: Bacteria
Description: partial 16S ribosomal RNA
Rfam family: Bacterial small subunit ribosomal RNA
Source: RNAcentral
AGCGAACGCUGGCGGCAGGCCUAACACAUGCAAGUCGAACGGACCUUUCGGGGUUAGUGGCGGACGGGUGAGUAACACGUGGGAACGUGCCUUUAGGUUCGGAAUAGCUCCUGGAAACGGGUGGUAAUGCCGAAUGUGCCCUUAGGGGGAAAGAUUUAUCGCCUUUAGAGCGGCCCGCGUCUGAUUAGCUAGUUGGUGAGGUAAUGGCUCACCAAGGCUAUGAUCAGUAGCUGGUCUGAGAGGAUGACCUGCCACAUUGGGACUGAGACACGGCCCAAACUCCUACGGGAGGCAGCAGUGGGGAAUCUUGCGCAAUGGGCGAAAGCCUGACGCAGCCAUGCCGCGUGGAUGAUGAAGGUCUUAGGAUUGUAAAAUCCUUUCACCGGUGAAGAUAAUGACUGUAGCCGGAGAAGAAGCCCCGGCUAACUUCGUGCCAGCAGCCGCGGUAA